RNAcentral lists this long non-coding RNA (358 nucleotides) under Phoenix dactylifera (date palm). Its description in RNAcentral is "long non-coding RNA (PDAC_LNC013087)". Lineage: Eukaryota; Viridiplantae; Streptophyta; Magnoliopsida; Arecales; Arecaceae. The record is from RNAcentral.
UUGGUGCCCAACCCCACCUUUACCCUACAACAUCUCAUGUCUAUAGAGAGGUCCAGCCCCCCGAUGCAACUUGACCACUGUAUCCAGCCAAGACAAAUCAACAUCAGAAAGGCCUUAGCAGCUCUACUACAGUGGAAGACCUAUUGACUUAAUAUUGGUUAAUCAGGUCUUAGUGUUUGCAACUUGAGCUCUUCAUAAGAGAUAAUCGAACAAUUGGCCAGGUAAGCAGGUGGGAGGCUCCCCUCACUCAGAGAGUAAGGUCCUAAUUAAGUAACCACCUUUCAUGCUUUCCUAGACACCAAUUAGAUCAAUUAAUCUAAUAUGACUUGCUCAUGUCGGUUCACUCUUGACUUGAUUG